UGCCACGUGGAAGUAUAACACUCCCAGUUAGGUAAUUUUCUUUCGGAUGUUUCAGCUUCCCAAGCAAGAAGCAUUUGCACGUCUUCUUAGAUCUGAAAACUUGUCUUCUGCUUUCGCGACUGUAUUAAGGGGAAGAAAUGGACAGGAUAAGCAGUUUACCAGAUGGUGUGAUCAUCCAUAUCUUGUCUUUCUUACCGUUGGAGAAGUCUGCUCAAACUUCGGUUCUCUCAAAGAGAUGGCGCAUCCUCUUUGCCUUUGUAGAAGCCGGAAAACCGGACUGACAUAAACGAUAAAAUAAAAGCGAUGUUAAAGAAAUAUACGAAUGUAAAAGGCGAAUACAAGAACCAUAAAAAAUCAUAUUCGCAAAGAGGAGCGCGCGUGGGGAGCCUUUCUCUCUCACCCAGCCGUUUGCACCCUUGUAACAUGGGAACAUAUAUAAACAUCUCAACUCUUCUCUUCCUCCCCGAUGUGGGACUUUCCACAUGUAUUUGACUUGUGUUUUGUGGGGUUUUCAUGUUUUUAGCCCAGUCAUUAUUCAUUCACAUUUCCAUUAAAGCCCAAUGGCUUUAAUUGAUCCAACAAUUAUGCAGUUACAAAUGCUCCCCAAAUCUUGAUUUGUUACCGUACCAAAAUGAUAUGCGGGCGGCCAAGAUUCUUGAAAUUUGUAGAAAGAGUCUUGUAUGUCUCAGGAAACUCUUCCAUAAAGAAAUUUUCCUUGAACUGUAGGAAGGGUUAUCGCAUUAAGCUUUGGUUACGUGAUGUACUGAAUCGUGGUGGUCUCUUGGAUCCUGAUCUCCAUCUGGACGUAGCUGAUGCUGGUCUUCCUUGUGAGGUUUUCACUUGCAAUACACUUGUGGAGCUGAAACUAACUGAGUUUUGUAUGAAAGAGCUUCCUGAGGAUGCUUCUCUCCCUGCUCUUAAGAAGCUUUUCUUGAAAUCAAUUGAGUUCGAUAGUCUUCAGCUUUGUGCCUUUGGAAAGCUUCUUUCAGCUUGCCCCGUUCUGGAGGAGCUGGUCUUAGAUGAUUUGAGGUGGGAUCUGUGGAAAUGGUCUCGCUCGGUCUUCAGCCCUAGCCUUCGGAAACUUACUUUUAAACAUACAGAGUUCAGGGGUGUUGAUAUGUCUGAUUUUGGGAACAUUCUAUUGAUACUCCCAGUGUUACCUAUUUAGACUACUAUGAUCUUGUCCCCAGUUCCUAUCUGGCUGUCAAUCUCAAUUCUCUUGUCGAAGCAAAUCUCGAUCUUGUUGGGACAAUAGGCCACUAUUAUAACUCACAUUUAGCAGGAGAAGGUGAUAAUAUUACUAGCAAUCCAACAGAUAUGUUCAAGGAAAUGAGAAAUGUACAAAUCAUGAACUUGUUAUCUCAAAAUAGUUUGGAGGUAACUAACUGUUUUCCUUCUUUAUUAUUAUUUUUCUUUUCUGGGUAUAAUAUGUUAUUAAAGAAAACUGAAAGAAGCUGAUGAUUUGGAAUCAUAUCCUUGUACUAAAUUUAAGAUCUUGUUGAAUAUAAGACUUUUUAUCUUAAAUGAUAUUGGAAUUGGUCAAUGUCUGACUUUGUUAAUUUGAUUUCUGUUUCAGAUAUUCUAUUUAUUCCGUGGAGUAAUCCCAGUGUAUGAAAACAUGUUUCAUUUAUCUAUUACAACGGAAUCAACAGACUGAUGGAAUGGACUGGUAUAUUUGCUAAACCAUUGCAGAGACUCUCACCAUCAAGGUAAAUGACCUCUUAACCUUGUAAGUUUAUAGCUAAGCUCCAAAAUCUUCAAUUGCUAAUCCUCGACUCUCUGUUGGUUCAGGGUACCUUGCACUAUGCUCCAUAUGAUUUUGUUUGCCGCUGUGUGUUGGAAUAUUCUUUCCUUGUCAUGUCCUGUGAAAGUCGUAAAAGAUAACCAAGUACGGAGGAACUAUCGACGAGUUGUUACAGCCAGUGCCGGCUUAGAGCAUGUGCUCACAGCACAUUUGCACAGGGUCCUGUUUUUUACUUUACAAAAUUAGGACCCUAUUUUGUUAAAAAAUAUAAAUAUUAGAGUCUAGUUUUUAAAUUGACUAUAAUAUAACUAAAGGUUGACAAAAAAAAAUUAAGGCAGCACAGGGCCCUUUUAAUAUUUGAGCCGGGCCUGGUUACAGCUAAAGUAUAUUUUAGAGAAACUAUCACGUCUUGAGCGGUUGGAAGUUAGUAUUUGGGGGUACAGAUGACAUGAAGUUUCAAAAAGCUAUUUCAAAAAGUUUCAAAUUGGAUAGUUUUGCAUCGGUAUUCGAGAAGGAAUCAGAAUAUUUUUGGUAAAAUGUUAUUUGAUGAUGGGUCCGGUCCGGAACUCCACUUUGAUUACUCUCGCUGGACAGCACAUGGGUUUUUGAGCAAUGUCAGCUACAAAAACAAGUAUCCUACUAACGUUACGUUAGGUAUCUUUUUUACUAAUAGGCCUAUAAAUAGCCGAUUAAAAAGUAAGAGCUAGGUUUGACCAAAAAAAUCAUAAAUGAAUUUAUUAGCCCAACAAACAUAAAUAGUCCUCGUUUAUUACGAAACGGUAAAUGUCGCCGAACCAUAGUUCUAAGACAACAUUACUACAGUGACCGUUCACAUAGAGAUGGAUAACGAGCAGAGAGAUAAAGGAAACAGACAAGA
Brassica napus (rape) is the source of this 2621-nucleotide long non-coding RNA. RefSeq lists it as uncharacterized. NCBI's taxonomy places the organism in Eukaryota, Viridiplantae, Streptophyta, Magnoliopsida, Brassicales, Brassicaceae. The transcript is spliced from 2 exons. The record is from RefSeq and is a predicted model, not a curated record.